UUAUUGAAUAAUUUUAUUCUGUCUCAGAAUAAAAAUCUGCUUUAAUAUUGUAAGGUGCACUGCAGGUAUGCCAUGCUGCCAGUUAUUACUGGGGUACCAAACGCCCUAGUCAAUGACCCAGAGGGCUUGGCAAAAUGCAUGAAUUCAUAUUUUCAGAGCAUGUAGAAUUGGUAUUUACAGUUUUUCUUUUUUCUUCAAAGUAGCCCAGGAUAUCUCCGACAGUCUACACAGGUAUUGUCAUAGCACUUGCUUUGAUGUUCCGAAUGUCUCGGAAAUGUGUUCAAUAUCAUGAUUGGUGGGUCCUCCAAAAGACUUUGUUGUUAACAUGCAAGCAAACAGUAUUAAAUGAUAUCAUCUAAACUAUGGCUGCCGAGAGCUGGACCUCGAUACUGAAACUGAAUCACAAAACAUUUUCUUGUAGAGCCUUACAAAAGGCAACUAUAGCUUAAAAUAGAAAAAAGAUUUACUAAUAAUUUAUCAUUAGCAAUGAACUCUAUACUGAGUCACAUCUGUGGGUCACAGGCCGAAGGACCAGUGCUAUGGUAUCUCGUAGGUUGCUAAAAUAAUUUCUAACACUCUGAAUCCUCUUGAAAUA
Molecule: long non-coding RNA, 595 nt
Filed under: Bos taurus (domestic cattle)
Lineage: Eukaryota; Metazoa; Chordata; Mammalia; Artiodactyla; Bovidae
Description: long non-coding RNA NONBTAT009348
Source: RNAcentral